UUUUUUAAUUUUUUUAAAACCCCCUUCGAGUAGAAGAGGCCUACCAACGCAGCAACGGGUAACGGGGUGUUAGGGCACGACACCGGAGAGGGAGCCUGAGAAACGGCUACCACAUCCAAGGAUGGCAGCAGGCGCGCAAAUUACCCAAUCCCGACACGGGGAGGUAGUGACAAUAAAUAACAAUACGGGGUCCUUUCGGGUCUCGUAAUUGGAAUGAGUACAAUUUAAAUCUCUUAACGAGGAACAAUUGGAGGGCAAGUCUGGUGCCAGCAGCCGCGGUAAUUCCAGCUCCAAUAGCGUAUAUUAAAGUUGUUGCAGUUAAAAAGCUCGUAGUUGAAUUUCGGGAUCAGCAUGUCGGUCGUGCCUCUGGUACGUACUGGUAUCGUUGAUUUCUACCUUCUGACGAACCGUGAUGUCAUUAAUUUGGUGUCAUGGGAAAUCAGGACUGUUACUUUGAAAAAAUUAGAGUGUUUAAAGCAGGCACACGCUUGAAUACAUUAGCAUGGAAUAAUGAAAUAGGACGUUUGACCCUAUUUUGUUGGUUUCUAGGAUCGACGUAAUGAUUAAUAGGGAUAGUUGGGGGCAUUAGUAUUCAAUUGUCAGAGGUGAAAUUCUUGGAUUUAUUGAAGACUGACUACUGCGAAAGCAUUUGCCAAGGAUGUUUUCAUUAAUCAAGAACGAAAGUUAGGGGAUCGAAGACGAUCAGAUACCGUCGUAGUCUUAACCAUAAACUAUGCCGACUAGGGAUCGGAUGAUGUUAAUUUUUUAAUGACUAAGCCGGCGCCUUACGGGAACAAGGGGGGGGGGGGGACACAAAGAGAGGGGG
This 826-nucleotide ribosomal RNA is filed under the name Glomus flavisporum. RNAcentral describes it as "partial small subunit ribosomal RNA". It matches the Rfam family "Eukaryotic small subunit ribosomal RNA", at positions 291 to 1097 of the family's 1831-position model. The record is from RNAcentral. Lineage: Eukaryota; Fungi; Glomeromycota; Glomeromycetes; Glomerales; Glomeraceae.